This 331-nucleotide ribosomal RNA is filed under the name uncultured eukaryote. RNAcentral describes it as "partial 18S ribosomal RNA". It matches the Rfam family "Eukaryotic small subunit ribosomal RNA", at positions 1470 to 1796 of the family's 1831-position model. The record is from RNAcentral.
CCCUUAGAUGUUCUGGGCCGCCCGCGCGCUACACUGACGAAGUCAGCGAGCAUGUCCUACGCCGACAGGUGCGGGGAAUCUUGUCAAACUUCGUCGUGAUGGGGAUUGAUUAUUGAAAUUCUUGAUCAUCAACGAGGAAUUCCUAGUAAGCGCAAGUCAGCAGCUUGCGUUGAUUACGUCCCUGCCCUUUGUACACACCGCCCGUCGCUACUACCGAUUGAAUGGUUUAGUGAGAUCUUCGGAUUGGCGCCACUGCGGCUCAGCAAUGGGCUCGGUGGAUGCCGAAAAGUUGAUCAAACUUGAUCAUUUAGAGGAAGUAAAAGUCGUAACA